This 880-nucleotide ribosomal RNA is filed under the name toluene-degrading bacterium UCR 026b. RNAcentral's name for it is "partial 16S ribosomal RNA". The stretch from base 1 to 108 matches the Rfam family "Bacterial small subunit ribosomal RNA", at positions 1427 to 1533 of the family's 1533-position model. The record is from RNAcentral.
UAGGUAGCCUAACCGCAAGGGAGGGCGCUUACCACGGCGGGGUUCGUGACUGGGGUGAAGUCGUAACAAGGUAGCCGUAUCGGAAGGUGCGGCUGGAUCACCUCCUUUCUGGAAACAAGAGCAAUCAAGAUUGAACGUCCACACUUAUCGGUUGUUGAGAAGAGCUUUGGCUGGGUGCUGGGUGCGCGAGAGCGUGCGGGGUAUCUGGUUGAGGGAAUGGGUCUGUAGCUCAGCUGGUUAGAGCACCGUCUUGAUAAGGCGGGGGUCGUUGGUUCGAGCCCAACUAGACCCACCAAGAUCUUCCAACGGAUGGCAUGUUGAUUGGCUAGAGCCAAGCGGUGCGAGGCGUCUGGUGCGAAGCACACUGGGGUGUGUGAGCGGUAGGCAACGAAGCAAUGCGCCGGCUAUAGACGAUCAAAGGGGGAUUAGCUCAGCUGGGAGAGCACCUGCUUUGCAAGCAGGGGGUCGUCGGUUCGAUCCCGUCAUCCUCCACCAAGAAUAGUGUCCUGGGGUAAACGAGGAUGCUAUAAUCAUUGGCUCCUCAAUACAAAAGCAGCUUGUAGAGCAGGCUGCUUUUGUAUUGAUCGAUCCGAUCAAUAAAGGCUGUUCUUUAAAAAUUCAUAGAGUCGAAAUCAGAGUUGCUGGCGGAAAACACCGCAAGGUGUACCGUGCCGCCAGUGACUAAUUUGAUUGCGUCAAAACGAAUAAGACUUUGCGAAAGCAAUGAUUAUUCAGUAAUGACGAAUAUUCUCCAAGAUAGCAAUAUCGAGGGAUUAUUCACAUUACGGCAUAACGCGCGAGGUGAGAGACCUCGCAGCGGUUGCUUGACUGAGCUUGGGGUUCUCGACAAGAGAAGUCAAAGUUAUAGGGUCAAGUGACU